Molecule: microRNA, 21 nt
Filed under: Populus tomentosa
Lineage: Eukaryota; Viridiplantae; Streptophyta; Magnoliopsida; Malpighiales; Salicaceae
Description: Pto-miR6435
Source: RNAcentral
UGAAUAACGGAGACACUCUAG